UUUGAAAAGGGUUGGUUGCCAGAUGUUAGCAAAUCAAAUUCCAAUAAUCGAACUCGCAGAUAUUUGCGUUUGAUUUCGUGAAAUCGGCAGUACAUGUACCGAUUCUAUUAAGAGAAAACGU
This is a long non-coding RNA of Rhagoletis zephyria (snowberry fruit fly), 121 nucleotides long. RefSeq lists it as uncharacterized. Lineage: Eukaryota; Metazoa; Arthropoda; Insecta; Diptera; Tephritidae. The record is from RefSeq and is a predicted model, not a curated record.